GUGGGGAAUCUUGCGCAAUGGGCGAAAGCCUGAUCCAGCCAUGCCGCGUGUGUGAAGAAGGUCUUCGGAUUGUAAAGCACUUUAAGUUGGGAGGAAGGGCAGUAAGUUAAUACCUUGCUGUUUUGACGUUACCGACAGAAUAAGCACCGGCUAACUUCGUGCCAGCAGCCGCGGUAAUACGAAGGGUGCAAGCGUUAAUCGGAAUUACUGGGCGUAAAGCGCGCGUAGGUGGUUUUGUAAGUUGGAGGUGAAAUCCCCGGGCUCAACCUGGGAACUGCCUCCAAAACUGCAUGACUAGAGUACGGUAGAGGGUAGUGGAAUUUCCUGUGUAGCGGUGAAAUGCGUAGAUAGAGGAAGGAACACCAGUGGCGAAGGCGACUACCUGGACUGAUACUGACACUGAGGUGCGAAAGCGUGGGGAGCAAACAGGAUUAGAUACCCGAGUAGUCC
This 450-nucleotide ribosomal RNA is filed under the name uncultured bacterium. RNAcentral's name for it is "partial 16S ribosomal RNA". It matches the Rfam family "Bacterial small subunit ribosomal RNA", at positions 354 to 796 of the family's 1533-position model. The record is from RNAcentral.